UCCCCUACGGGACGCAGCAGUGGGGAAUAUUGCACAAUGGGGGAAACCCUGAUGCAGCGACGCCGCGUGAGUGAAGAAGUAUCUCGGUACGUAAAGCUCUAUCAGCAGGGAAGAAAAAAAGUCUUUGGCUUUGGACAGUACCUGACUAAGAAGCCCCGGCUAACUACGUGCCAGCAGCCGCGGUAAUACGUAGGGGGCAAGCGUUAUCCGGAUUUACUGGGUGUAAAGGGAGCGUAGACGGCAGGGCAAGUCUGGAGUGAAAGGCAGGGGCCCAACCCCUGGACUGCUCUGGAAACUGUCCGGCG
This 305-nucleotide ribosomal RNA is filed under the name uncultured bacterium. Its description in RNAcentral is "bacterial SSU rRNA". It matches the Rfam family "Bacterial small subunit ribosomal RNA", at positions 335 to 642 of the family's 1533-position model. The record is from RNAcentral.